AGAGUUUGAUCCUGGCUCAGAACGAACGUUGGCGGCGUGCUUAACACAUGCAAGUCGAACGAGAAAGUUCCUUCGGGAACGAGUAAAGUGGCGCACGGGUGAGUAACGCGUAAGUAAUCUACCUUGGCAUUUGGAAUAACUACGGGAAGCUGUAGCUAAUACCGGAUACGUUUAUAUGGUUGCGACCAUAUACAGAAAGAUGACCUCUUCUUGAAAGUUAUCGUGCUAAGAGGAGCUUGCGUACCAUUAGCUAGUUGGUAGGGUAAUGGCCUACCAAGGCAACGAUGGUUAGCGGGUCUGAGAGGAUGAUCCGCCACACUGGAACUGGAACACGGACCAGACUCCUACGGGAGGCAGCAGUGAGGAAUAUUGCGCAAUGGGGGAAACCCUGACGCAGCGACGCCGCGUGGAUGAUGAAGGCCUUAGGGUCGUAAAAUCCUGUCAGAUGGGAAGAAAUGUACGUAGGAAUAAUACCUUAUGUGCUGACG
Molecule: ribosomal RNA, 488 nt
Filed under: uncultured delta proteobacterium
Lineage: Bacteria; Deltaproteobacteria
Description: bacterial SSU rRNA
Rfam family: Bacterial small subunit ribosomal RNA
Source: RNAcentral